CACAUAUAUACAUAUAUAUAUAUAUAUAUAUAAAUAUAUAUAUAUAUAUAUCUUUUAAUUGGGGUAGCCCCCAAAAUAUUGGGACAUAUAAAAAAGACAACUCUGUUCCGCAGAGUAGCUGUUGAUAUUAUAGUUGCGCAGGAACUUUGUUGACUUUAGAGAACCCGGGCAAAUCGCACAUCCCAGUUGGCGGCAAAUUUGCAUGUGGAUGUCAUCCAUAUCAUCUUUCGAUGCCAGUUUCUGCGCCUACCAUGGUGACCACGGGUAAUGGGGAAUCAGGGUUCCAUUCCGUACAGGGACCCUGAGAAACAGCUACCACAUGCAAGAAAGGCAGCAGGCGAGCAAAUGACCCACUCCCGACGUGGGAAGGUAGUGACG
Non-coding RNA from Pelobates cultripes (western spadefoot toad), 378 nucleotides. The record is from the annotation of a GenBank genome assembly. Lineage: Eukaryota; Metazoa; Chordata; Amphibia; Anura; Pelobatidae.